Molecule: ribosomal RNA, 380 nt
Filed under: uncultured eukaryote
Lineage: Eukaryota
Description: partial 18S ribosomal RNA
Rfam family: Eukaryotic small subunit ribosomal RNA
Source: RNAcentral
CAAUAGCGUAUAUUAAAGUUGUUGCAGUUAAAAAGCUCGUAGUUGGAUUUGUGGCGUACGGUGUGUUCCGGGCACUUGUUGUCUGAGUAACCUGCUGUUGCCAUCCUUGGGUGGAACCUGUGUGGCAUUAGGUUGUCGUGCAGGGGAUGCCCAUCAUUUACUGUGAAAAAAUUAGAGUGUUCAAAGCAGGCUUAUGCCGUUGAAUAUAUUAGCAUGGAAUAAUGAGAUAGGACUUUUUUGCUAUUCUGUUGGUUUGCGCAAAGAGGUAAUGAUUAAUAGGGACAGUUGGGGGUAUUCGUAUUCCAUUGUCAGAGGUGAAAUUCUUGGAUUUUUGGAAGACGAACUACUGCGAAAGCAUUUACCAAGGAUGUUUUCAUUAA